Molecule: ribosomal RNA, 1196 nt
Filed under: uncultured bacterium
Lineage: Bacteria
Description: bacterial SSU rRNA
Rfam family: Bacterial small subunit ribosomal RNA
Source: RNAcentral
AAGAUGGCCUCGCGGCCCAUUAGCUAGUUGGUAGGGUAAUGGCCUACCAAGGCGACGAUGGGUAGCCGAGCUGAGAGGCUGAACGGCCACACUGGAACUGAGACACGGUCCAGACUCCUACGGGAGGCAGCAGUGGGGAAUAUUGGGCAAUGGGCGCAAGCCUGACCCAGCAACGCCGCGUGAGGGAAGAAGGUUUUCGGAUUGUAAACCUCUGUCCUUGGGGACGAAAAUGACGGUACCCAAGGAGGAAGCCCCGGCUAACUACGUGCCAGCAGCCGCGGUAAUACGUAGGGGGCAAGCGUUGUCCGGAAUUAUUGGGCGUAAAGGGAGCGUAGGCGGUCUUUUAAGUUAGAUGUGAAAGGCUACGGCUCAACCUGGGAAGUGCUCCUGAAACUGGUAGACUUGAGUGCAAGAGAGGGAAGUGGAAUUCCUAGUGUAGCGGUGAAAUGCGUAGAUAUUAGGAGGAACACCAGUGGCGAAGGCGACUUCCUGGCUUGUAACUGACACUGAGGCGCGAAAGCGUGGGGAUCAAACAGGAUUAGAUACCCUGGUAGUCCACGCCGUAAACGAUGAGUGCUAGGUGUCGGGGGUAUCGACCCCCUCGGUGCCACAGCUAACGCAAUAAGCACUCCGCCUGGGGAGUACGGUCGCAAGACUGAAACUCAAAGGAAUUGACGGGGGCCCGCACAAGCGGUGGAGUAUGUGGUUUAAUUCGACGCAACGCGAAGAACCUUACCAAGGCUUGACAUCCCGUGACCGGUACAGAGAUGUUCUUUCGCCUUCGGGUGAACACGGAGACAGGUGGUGCAUGGUUGUCGUCAGCUCGUGUCGUGAGAUGUUGGGUUAAGUCCCGCAACGAGCGCAACCCUUGUCUUUAGUUACCAUCAUUCAGUUGGGGACUCUAGAGAGACUGCCGGUGACAAACCGGAGGAAGGUGGGGAUGACGUCAAAUCAUCAUGCCCCUUAUGACUUGGGCUACACACGUACUACAAUGGCGUAUACAGAGAGGAGCAAGCCCGCAAGGGGAGCGGAUCUGAGAAAAGUAGUCCCAGUUCGGAUCGUGGGCUGCAACCCGCCCACGUGAAGUCGGAGUUGCUAGUAAUCGCGGAUCAGCAUGCCGCGGUGAAUACGUUCCCGGGCCUUGUACACCCCGCCCGGCAAACCAUGAGAGUUGGUAAUACCCGAAGCCGGUGAGC